UACGGGGGGAGCAAGCGUUGUUCGGAAUUACUGGGCGUAAAGCGCGUGUAGGCGGUCUCGCAAGUCGGGUGUGAAAGCCCCGGGCUCAACCCGGGAAGUGCAUUCGAUACUGCGAGGCUAGAGUCCCGGAGAGGAUGGUGGAACUCUCGGUGUAGAGGUGAAAUUCGUAGAUAUCGAGAAGAACACCGGUGGCGAAGGCGGCCAUCUGGACGGUGACUGACGCUGAGACGCGAAAGCGUGGGGAGCAAACAGG
RNAcentral lists this ribosomal RNA (253 nucleotides) under uncultured bacterium. Its description in RNAcentral is "partial 16S ribosomal RNA". It matches the Rfam family "Bacterial small subunit ribosomal RNA", at positions 524 to 776 of the family's 1533-position model. The record is from RNAcentral.